Molecule: ribosomal RNA, 490 nt
Filed under: uncultured bacterium
Lineage: Bacteria
Description: partial 16S ribosomal RNA
Rfam family: Bacterial small subunit ribosomal RNA
Source: RNAcentral
AUUGAACGCUGGCGGCAGGCCUAACACAUGCAAGUCGAACGGUAACAUGAAGAAGCUUGCUUCUUUGCUGACGAGUGGCGGACGGGUGAGUAAUGUCUGGGAAACUGCCUGAUGGAGGGGGAUAACUACUGGAAACGGUAGCUAAUACCGCAUAACGUCGCAAGACCAAAGAGGGGGACCUUCGGGCCUCUUGCCAUCGGAUGUGCCCAGAUGGGAUUAGCUAGUAGGUGGGGUAACGGCUCACCUAGGCGACGAUCCCUAGCUGGUCUGAGAGGAUGACCAGCCACACUGGAACUGAGACACGGUCCAGACUCCUACGGGAGGCAGCAGUGGGGAAUAUUGCACAAUGGGCGCAAGCCUGAUGCAGCCAUGCCGCGUGUAUGAAGAAGGCCUUCGGGUUGUAAAGUACUUUCAGCGGGGAGGAAGGGAGUAAAGUUAAUACCUUUGCUCAUUGACGUUACCCGCAGAAGAAGCACCGGCUAACUCCGUG